Molecule: ribosomal RNA, 1451 nt
Filed under: uncultured organism
Description: bacterial SSU rRNA
Rfam family: Bacterial small subunit ribosomal RNA
Source: RNAcentral
AGAGUUUGAUCCUGGCUCAGGAUGAACGCUGGCGGCGUGCCUAAGGUAUGCAAGUCGACCGUAUUCCGCUUGUCGGAAUUUGCGGGGCAGACGGCUGAGUAACACGUAAGAAUCUACCUUUAACUCGAGAACAAUCCCGUGAAAACGGGGCUAAUGCUCGAUAGUCCCACAUUCUGUAGUGGUUUGUGGGUAAAGCUUCGGUGGUUAAAGAGGAGCUUGCGUCCUAUCAGGUAGUUGGUGAGGUAAAGGCUCACCAAGCCUAUGACGGGUAACUGGUCUGAGAGGAUGAUCAGUCGCGAUGGGACUGAGACACGGCCCAUACUCCUACGGGAGGCAGCAGUAAGGAAUCUUCCACAAUGGACGAAAGUCUGAUGGAGCAACACCGCGUGGUUGAUGAAGCCCUUCGGGGUGUAAAGACCUUUUCUGGGAGAAGAAUUCUGACGGUAUCCUAGGAAUAAGCACCGGCUAACUCCGUGCCAGCAGCCGCGGUAAUACGGAGGGUGCAAGCGUUAUCCGGAAUCAUUGGGCGUAAAGCGUCCGCAGGCGGUUUGUUAAGUUGGGUGUUAAAUUUUGCAGCUCAACUGCAAAAAUACAUUCAAAACUGGCAAACUAGAGUACUUCAGAGGUACGUGGAAUUCUGUGUGUAGGGGUAAAAUCCGUAGAUACACAGAGGAAUACCAAAAGCGAAGGCAGCGUACUGGGAAGUCACUGACGCUCAGGGACGAAAGCGUGGGUAGCGAACGGGAUUAGAUACCCCGGUAGUCCACGCCGUAAACGAUGGAUACUAGUUGUUGGAGGACUCGACCCCUCCAGUGACGUCGCUAACGCAUUAAGUAUCCCGCCUGGGGAGUACGGUCGCAAGAUUAAAACUCAAAGGAAUAGACGGGGACCCACACAAGCGGUGGAGCAUGUGGUUUAAUUCGACGAUAAGCGAGGAACCUUACCUGGACUUGACAUCCCGAGAAUUUCCCCGAAAAGGGAAAGUGCCGCAAGGAACUCGGUGACAGGUGCUGCAUGGUUGUCGUCAGCUCGUGCCUUGAGGUGUUCGGUUAAGUCCGUGAACGAGCGCAACCCUUGUCCUGUGUUGUAUUUUCACAGGAGACUGCCGGCUUUAAGUCGGAGGAAGGUAAGGAUGACGUCAAAUCAGCAUGGCCCUUAUGUCCAGGGCUACACACGUGCUACAAUGGCAGGUACAAUAGGCAGCAAACCCGCGAGGGGGAGCCAAUCCUCAAAAACCUGUCCUAAGUUCGAAUUGAUGGCUGCAACUCGCCAUCAUGAAGUUGGAAUCGCUAGUAACCGCGUAUCAGCCAUGACGCGGUGAAUAUGUUCCUGGGUCUUGUACUCACCGCCCGUCACGUCAUGAAAGGUGGAGGCACCCGAAGUACCGUUAUCAUUUAUGAGCGGUCCUAAGGUGAAACCACUGAUUGGGACGAAGUCGUAACAAGGUAACC